GUCUAUGGCCACGCUACUCUGAACAAGCCCAAUCCCGUCUGACCUCAGAAGCACAACAGGGUCGGACCUGGUUAGUACUUGGAUGAGAGACCACCUAGGAAGACCAGGUGCUAUAGGCU
This 119-nucleotide ribosomal RNA is filed under the name Pteropus alecto (black flying fox). The record is from RNAcentral. Lineage: Eukaryota; Metazoa; Chordata; Mammalia; Chiroptera; Pteropodidae. RNAcentral also lists the same sequence under 1 other name.